This 283-nucleotide unclassified non-coding RNA is filed under the name Hevea brasiliensis (rubber tree). The record is from RNAcentral. Lineage: Eukaryota; Viridiplantae; Streptophyta; Magnoliopsida; Malpighiales; Euphorbiaceae.
GAAAAAGAAAAAAAUUCAGAGACAAAAAUCGAGCCUUGUAUUUGUAUCCCUGAAUUUUGCUCUUUAGAUUGGUUCCGAUUAUCUAUAAAUUCUGGUUUAUCGAAGUUGGUGAGCUCAACAGAGUCGAGUUACGAAGAAUUGGAGAACUGUCUCUGCGUGGGUUUCAGAAGAGAAGAGACGUGAGGAAAUGUGGGGAUUUGGGGGAAGUUGUUAUUGGGGGAGAAGGGAAAAGAAAAGGGAAGGGAUAGUGGUGGUAUUUGCUUGGAUGUCGAGCCAAGAGAAG